Molecule: ribosomal RNA, 253 nt
Filed under: uncultured bacterium
Lineage: Bacteria
Description: partial 16S ribosomal RNA
Rfam family: Bacterial small subunit ribosomal RNA
Source: RNAcentral
UACGGAGGGUGCAAGCGUUAUCCGGAUUCACUGGGUUUAAAGGGAGCGCAGGCGGAUUUGUAAGUCAGUGGUGAAAGGCUUAAGCUUAACUUGGGAACUGCCAUUGAUACUAUAAGUCUUGAAUGUUGUUGAGGUUUGCGGAAUGGGUCAUGUAGCGGUGAAAUGCAUAGGUAUGACCCGGAACACCUAUUGCGAAGGCAGCAGGCUAAACAAAUAUUGACGCUGAGGCUCGAAAGCGUGGGGAUCAAACAGG